UGUACUUAGGCUCACCAAAAUAAUGUUAUUUACUCCUAAGAAAUCCAAGACACAACAAAUAAAGUUACAAUUCUACUUAGAAGCAUCAAUUUUUAGGAUGACUGUGUAAGUCUCUGUUCAAGAAGUGCCAGUUCACGCAUAUUGUCUGAUGGAACUGUAGUAAUGACCCUUUCUUUCACUCCAUGACUUUUUAAAAGUAACAACCAGCAUUUAAAGAAAACAAAACAAAACAGGACUGUAUCACAUAUAGUAAAGAAAGCUGCUAAUACAAGAAAUCUCAACCUUCUGGAGUAGUUGUAUUCAUUUACUUAUAAUUCUUACAUGGAGAACAAUAUAAUGUAGAGAACAAUACAAGGAUAUUCACGUUUGAGGCACAGCUCUAGUAAUAAACCAUUAUCCAUGUGAA
Long non-coding RNA from Talpa occidentalis (Iberian mole), 406 nucleotides. RefSeq lists it as uncharacterized. NCBI's taxonomy places the organism in Eukaryota, Metazoa, Chordata, Mammalia, Eulipotyphla, Talpidae. The transcript has 3 exons. The record is from RefSeq and is a predicted model, not a curated record.